RNAcentral lists this ribosomal RNA (273 nucleotides) under uncultured bacterium. RNAcentral's name for it is "partial 16S ribosomal RNA". It matches the Rfam family "Bacterial small subunit ribosomal RNA", at positions 524 to 796 of the family's 1533-position model. The record is from RNAcentral.
UACAGAGGGUGCGAGCGUUAAUCGGAAUUACUGGGCGUAAAGCGCGCGUAGGCGGCUUAUUAAGUCAGAUGUGAAAUCCCCGGGCUCAACCUGGGAACUGCAUCUGAUACUGGUAAGCUAGAGUUUUGGAGAGGGAAGUAGAAUUUCAGGUGUAGCGGUGAAAUGCAUAGAGAUCUGAAGGAAUACCAGUGGCGAAGGCGACUUCCUGGCCAAAAACUGACGCUGAGGUGCGAAAGCGUGGGUAGCAAACAGGAUUAGAAACCCCAGUAGUCC